UUUUGUGACUGAGUGGCGGACGGGUGAGUAACGCGUGGGUAACCUGCCUCAUACAGGGGGAUAGCAGUUGGAAACGACUGGUAAAACCGCAUAAGCGCACGGUGUCGCAUGACACAGUGUGAAAACACUCCGGUGGUAUGAGAUGGACCCGCGUCUGAUUAGCUAGUUGGUGAGGUAACGGCCCACCAAGGCGACGAUCAGUAGCCGGCCUGAGAGGGCGAACGGCCACACUGGGACUGAGACACGGCCCAGACUCCUACGGGAGACAGCAGUUAGGAAUAUUCGGCAAUGGGCGAAAGCCUGACCGAGCAAUGCCGCGUGUGAGAUGAAGGUCCUUUGGAUUGUAAAUCACUUUUAUUUGGGAAGAACAGUAAGUAUAGGAAAUGAUGCUUACUUGACGGUACCUUUUGAAUAAGCCCCGGCUAACUACGUGCCAGCAGCCGCGGUAAUACGUAGGGGGCGAGCGUUAUCCGGAUUUAUUGGGCGUAAAGCGUGUGUAGGCGGUUUGUUAAGUCUGAGAUGAAAGGCUAUGGCUCAACCAUAGUUUGUUUCAGAAACUGGCAGACUAGAGUGCAGUAGAGGCAAAUGGAAUUCAUAGUGUAGCGGUGGAAUGCGUAGAUAUUAUGAGGAACAUCAGU
This 638-nucleotide ribosomal RNA is filed under the name uncultured bacterium. RNAcentral describes it as "bacterial SSU rRNA". It matches the Rfam family "Bacterial small subunit ribosomal RNA", at positions 83 to 713 of the family's 1533-position model. The record is from RNAcentral.